RNAcentral lists this ribosomal RNA (440 nucleotides) under uncultured bacterium. RNAcentral's name for it is "partial 16S ribosomal RNA". It matches the Rfam family "Bacterial small subunit ribosomal RNA", at positions 338 to 795 of the family's 1533-position model. The record is from RNAcentral.
CCUACGGGCGGCAGCAGUGGGGAAUAUUGCACAAUGGGGGAAACCCUGAUGCAGCGACGCCGCGUGAGUGAUGAAGUAUUUAGGUAUGUAAAGCCCUAUUAGCAGGGAAGAUAAUGACGGUACCUGACUAAUAAGCCCCGGCUAACUCCGUGCCAGCAGCCGCGGUAAUACGUAGGGGGCAAGCGUUACCCGGAUUGACUGGGCGUAAAGGGAGCGUAGGCGGGAGUGUAAGUCAGGAGUGAAAUCCCGUGGCUUAACACCGGAACUGCUUUGGAAACUGUGCGGCUGGAGUGCAGGAGAGGUAGGUGGAAUUCGUGGUGUAGGGGUAAAAUGCGUAGAUAUCAAGAGGAACACUGAUUGCGAAGGCGACUUACUGGACUAUGACUGACGUUGAGGCUCGAAAGCGUGGGGAGCAAACAGGAUUAGAUACCCUUGUAGUC